AAUAGUUUGCCGUGUGUGUUUUAGUGUAAACAUUUUUAGAUAGGUUUUGUGUGGUGUGAUUUUUAUGUUGUAAAUAGUUUGCUGUGUGUUUUAGUGUGAACAUUUUUAGAUAGGUUUUGUGUGGUGUUAUUAUUAUGUUGUAAAUAGUUUGUGUGAAAAAAAUAUAAAAAUGACAAAAAUGUUAGAUACAUUUAGAGAGAGAGAAAGGUUCUUCAUGUUUUGCUGCAGCAAAUGCUGCAGUUUUCCAGCAACAUUUUCACUGCACUUCUCUGUGGCCUUUGUGUGUCAGCCAAAGUUCUCAGUGCAGUUUAACAGACCGACUGGUCAGGUAGGGUCAGCAGAUCUCUGUCAGGUAAGUUUUUAUAUUGAUAGUAUUAAAUUAUUGAAGCACAGUGCAUUUAUUUGUCUGUUUUUCUUCCAGUGAGAUGGAACUUUGCAGUGCAGAGUGUGGAGAGGAGGAGUGGAGGAGGACGAGGCUUCUAUCCGUAUUGUCAUACAAAAUACAGGCACAAAAAUGGGAGACAUGUCAAAGCAAAGAAGUCAAUGUGAAAAGAAACCAAGGGAUUCAGUGGGACAUAAGUACUCGCAUAGCUCAUGUUCCCAGAGUCUGCCUGGGUCCAGGCUGGGUCAGGAGGACUGCUGAGGUCUUGAGGCAGGACCAUCCAGUUCAAGAGACAAAGCACCAUGCUUUCAACACCAGCCAGAUGUGAUCCUGCAGAAAAAGAGGAGGAAGGGAAAAAUGUCAGAGUGACAAAAACAAUAUACAGUACAGUGAGAUGGAAUUUUACAGUGCAGACUGGAGAGGAGGAGUGGAGGACGAGGCUUAUAUUGUCAUACAAAAUACAGGGACAGAAAUGGGGAGCACGUCAAACUGUAGGCAACUUGUACAGAACCAUGUGCAAAGAUGCACUGAGACACUUGAGACAUGCACUAAGACAUUUGCAAUUUGAUGAAAUCAAUGAAAAAUGACAUUCUGAGAUUUGCCCUACUUGCUCUUUGCAGCAAGUAAUCAGUUUUUUUUUUUUUUUUUUUUUUUUUUUGAGCUUCCAACACCAGCCAGAUGUGAUCCUGCAGCAAGAGAGGAGGAAGGGAAAAACAGUGACACUGACACAAGCAACUAAAAUACAGUACAGGUAAG
Molecule: long non-coding RNA, 1138 nt
Organism: Boleophthalmus pectinirostris (great blue-spotted mudskipper)
Lineage: Eukaryota; Metazoa; Chordata; Actinopteri; Gobiiformes; Gobiidae
Exons: 5
Source: RefSeq, a predicted model, not a curated record